RNAcentral lists this long non-coding RNA (1203 nucleotides) under Apteryx haastii (Great spotted kiwi). RNAcentral describes it as "lncRNA (ENSAHAG00000018150.1)". Lineage: Eukaryota; Metazoa; Chordata; Aves; Apterygiformes; Apterygidae. The record is from RNAcentral.
AAAAAAUGAAAAUAAUGAAAACAAAAUUGUUCUCUGUUCUCUGCAACAUUUUAUACCUAAUUGCUGAGAAGAAAAAUGAAUCUUCUGUGCCCAGAAAUACAUACAUAUAUAUUUCUACAGAAGUAUUAAAAAGUACUGAGGAAAUAAUACUCAGUCUUUUGAUUAACUCACAUUAUUCAAGGAACAGAAUGAAAAGAUUGUGAGUGGAAUAUUAGCCCAAGAUAAUGGACUCCUAGUGACACUGCUACAUAAUUGAGGUAGAGCAGAUAAUACUAUGAAAAAUAGAUUGAGCUAGAGGGUUUAUUUUCAGAGCUGGAUACAUUAAUCCUUUGACUGCUAUACUGUGUCAUUACUUAGCAGGUCAACGCUCAAGGUACCAAAUAUUUUCUGAAUGCACUGACAGCAGUUCCCCUCAGAAUAAGUGGAAAGAGAAGAUGCUUAGCAUCUCCAAAAGUUAUUCAGCAUUUUACAACUGUUUUCAGUUGUGCCACCUGGCAGAUAAUAGAAACGUAAGGUAUGUAUUUAUUUUAUUUUAAAUAUGAUAACAUGGUAGGAAAGCUGCUCAUUGUGGUUUUAUACUACCAAUGACAUGCUUAACACUGCACUGAGGGGGCACAUUUUGAAAAAAAAAAAUCCAAAAUAAUGUUCUUCCUGGCAUAAUAAUUGGAGACCAUCUCACUUGUAGAACAAUGGGUUUUAUUCAGAGAACAUUCUACUUCCAUUGUUAUUAUUUUUUUUCACUGACUAAAUUAUUUAAAGACACACUUAAUGAUUGUUACAGUGCUUUUAUGCUAUUCAUCACUGAACUGUUUCCAACAUUCAGUACAAUUUAUAGUUUCUACUUGAAGGAAUAGUGCUCCUUGAAGGAAAGCUGCUUAUAAAAAAAAUUAAAAUCCAACAUCAUGAACUUCAUUAGCUCCCUCCCAGCUAGGCCUCCCUCCAACUAUCCCCCAAAAUGUCUUGGUUUUGCCUUUCAGAUUAUAUUGUACUUUUUUUGUUUGUUUUGGAAUGAUCUUUGAAUUCUCUUUCCUACCUCAGCCCAUGAGUGUUUCCCAACUUUAAAACAAUUAUGCUUCCCACAGUUUCCCUUAUAGCAGCUUUCUUCUUUUAGCCCCACACUGGUACCCCAGUCUUACCAUAAAACAUGUCAUCAGCCUAAGAUUAUUUCAGUCUUACAUUUCCAGGUAUUCUUGAAAGCCAUCA